AUACGGAGGACGCGAGCGUUAUCCGGAUUCAUUGGGUUUAAAGGGUGCGCAGGCGGCCGUGCAAGUCAGCGGUGAAAGCCCGGGGCCCAACCCCGGAAGUGCCGUUGAUACUGCAUGGCUUGAAUGCGGUCGAGGCGGGCGGAACGGGGCGUGUAGCGGUGAAAAGCGGAGAUAUGGCACAGAACGCCGAUAGCGGAGGCAGCUCGCCAGGCCUGCAUUGACGCUCGGGCACGAAAGCGUGGGGAUCGAACAGGAUUAGAUACCCUGGUAGUCCACGCCGUAAACGAUGGGCGCUCGUCGUCGGCGGCAGACAGUCGGCGGCCAAGCGAAAGCGAUAAGCGCCCCACCUGGGGAGUACGGUCGCAAGGCUGAAACUCAAAUGAAUUGACGGGG
RNAcentral lists this ribosomal RNA (393 nucleotides) under uncultured bacterium. RNAcentral's name for it is "partial 16S ribosomal RNA". It matches the Rfam family "Bacterial small subunit ribosomal RNA", at positions 523 to 918 of the family's 1533-position model. The record is from RNAcentral.